GCCCGGGUGGCGGAAUCGGCAGACGCGUCGGACUCAAAAUCCGAUUCCCUCGCGGGAGUGAGGGUUCGACCCCCUCCCCGGGCA
This 84-nucleotide transfer RNA is filed under the name Puniceicoccales bacterium. RNAcentral describes it as "tRNA-Leu". It matches the Rfam family "tRNA". From Rfam's summary of the family: Transfer RNA (tRNA) molecules are approximately 80 nucleotides in length. Their secondary structure includes four short double-helical elements and three loops (D, anti-codon, and T loops). The record is from RNAcentral. Lineage: Bacteria; Pseudomonadati; Verrucomicrobiota; Opitutia; Puniceicoccales.